RNAcentral lists this ribosomal RNA (997 nucleotides) under Pseudarthrobacter equi. RNAcentral describes it as "bacterial SSU rRNA". It matches the Rfam family "Bacterial small subunit ribosomal RNA", at positions 431 to 1436 of the family's 1533-position model. The record is from RNAcentral. Lineage: Bacteria; Bacillati; Actinomycetota; Actinomycetes; Micrococcales; Micrococcaceae.
CUCUUUCAGUAGGGAAGAAGCGAAAGUGACGGUACCUGCAGAAGAAGCGCCGGGCUAACUACGUGCCAGCAGCCGCGGUAAUACGUAGGGCGCAAGCGUUAUCCGGGAAUUAUUGGGCGUAAAGAGCUCGUAGGCGGUUUGUCGCGUCUGCCGUGAAAGUCCGGGGCUCAACUCCGGAUCUGCGGUGGGUACGGGCAGACUAGAGUGAUGUAGGGGAGACUGGAAUUCCUGGUGUAGCGGUGAAAUGCGCAGAUAUCAGGAGGAACACCGAUGGCGAAGGCAGGUCUCUGGGCAUUAACUGACGCUGAGGAGCGAAAGCAUGGGGAGCGAACAGGAUUAGAUACCCUGGUAGUCCAUGCCGUAAACGUUGGGCACUAGGUGUGGGGGACAUUCCACGUUUUCCGCGCCGUAGCUAACGCAUUAAGUGCCCCGCCUGGGGAGUACGGCCGCAAGGCUAAAACUCAAAGGAAUUGACGGGGGCCCGCACAAGCGGCGGAGCAUGCGGAUUAAUUCGAUGCAACGCGAAGAACCUUACCAAGGCUUGACAUGAACCGGAAACGUCUGGAAACAGGCGCCCCACUUGUGGUCGGUUUACAGGUGGUGCAUGGUUGUCGUCAGCUCGUGUCGUGAGAUGUUGGGUUAAGUCCCGCAACGAGCGCAACCCUCGUUCCAUGUUGCCAGCGCGUAAUGGCGGGGACUCAUGGGAGACUGCCGGGGUCAACUCGGAGGAAGGUGGGGACGACGUCAAAUCAUCAUGCCCCUUAUGUCUUGGGCUUCACGCAUGCUACAAUGGCCGGUACAAAGGGUUGCGAUACUGUGAGGUGGAGCUAAUCCCAAAAAGCCGGUCUCAGUUCGGAUUGGGGUCUGCAACUCGACCCCAUGAAGUCGGAGUCGCUAGUAAUCGCAGAUCAGCAACGCUGCGGUGAAUACGUUCCCGGGCCUUGUACACACCGCCCGUCAAGUCACGAAAGUUGGUAACACCCGAAGCUAGGUGGCC